AAUCCAGACUCCUACGGGAGGCAGCAGUGGGGAAUAUUGCACAAUGGGGGAAACCCUGAUGCAGCGACGCCGCGUGAGUGAAGAAGUCUUUCGGUAUGUAAAGCUCUAUCAGCAGGGAAGAAGAAAGACGGUACCUGACUAAGAAGCCCCGGCUAACUACGUGCCAGCAGCCGCGGUAAUACGUAGGGGGCAAGCGUUAUCCGGAUUUACUGGGUGUAAAGGGAGCGUAGGUGGCAUGGCAAGCCAGAAGUGAAAACCCGGGGCUUAACCCCGCGGAUUGCUUUUGGAACUGUCAGGCUGGAGUGCAGGAGGGGCAGGCGGAAUUCCCGGUGUAGCGGUGAAAUGCGUAGAGAUCGGGAGGAACACCAGUGGCGAAGGCGGCCUACUGGGCUUUAACUGACGCUGAGGCACGAAAGCGUGGGUAGCAAACAGGAUUAGAUACCCUAGUA
RNAcentral lists this ribosomal RNA (449 nucleotides) under uncultured bacterium. RNAcentral describes it as "bacterial SSU rRNA". It matches the Rfam family "Bacterial small subunit ribosomal RNA", at positions 328 to 792 of the family's 1533-position model. The record is from RNAcentral.